This 85-nucleotide transfer RNA is filed under the name Felis catus (domestic cat). It matches the Rfam family "tRNA". Rfam says of the family: Transfer RNA (tRNA) molecules are approximately 80 nucleotides in length. Their secondary structure includes four short double-helical elements and three loops (D, anti-codon, and T loops). Further hydrogen bonds mediate the characteristic L-shaped molecular structure. tRNAs have two regions of fundamental functional importance: the anti-codon, which is responsible for specific mRNA codon recognition, and the 3' end, to which the tRNAs corresponding amino acid is attached (by aminoacyl-tRNA synthetases). tRNAs cope with the degeneracy of the genetic code in two manners: having more than one tRNA (with a specific anti-codon) for a particular amino acid; and 'wobble' base-pairing, i.e. permitting non-standard base-pairing at the 3rd anti-codon position. The record is from Rfam by way of RNAcentral. Lineage: Eukaryota; Metazoa; Chordata; Mammalia; Carnivora; Felidae.
GCCUGGGUGGCUCAGUUGGUUGAGCGUCUGACUUCGGCUCAGGUCACCAUCCUGCGGUCUGUGGGUUCGAGCCCCGCGUCGGGCU